AUAGAAGAUUUAGCUAGCCAGAAAUUUACAGAAGAAAGAAAGAAGAGAGUAAUUAGCUAGGUAAACAGGAAGCUAGAAUCUGUUUUGGAGAUAAAAUGAACCCACAGAGGCUGGGAGGAGAAAGGGAACUGAGCCAGUUGUUGACUAAGGCUCCUUCUUCUCCUCCCUGGAAAAGCACUUGGAAGAGCAGCUGAGGAGGAAAAGUGGAAAGCAGGCUUUUCAAGAGCAAAUGAAGCUUCCAGUUGCCCUUCCAGCUACCUGGUGAGAAGACUCUUCCUCAUAGGAGGAGAAAGCUCAGAGAUAGGAAGAGAAGCCGAGUGUCUCUGAGAAUGCACAGCUCCUAGUACACGAUCCUUGGAUUUGUGCAGGCGUUGAUCUCACUGGCCUGGUAAUUGCAAAAGCUGAAGAAGGGGUGAAUUUAAAAAUGCCACCUCCAAAUGCCUUGGGACCGCUCCGUCUCUGAAGCUGUGGACAGCUCUGUGGAGUCUGUGCAGAAUGACAAGGAUGACAAAAAAAGAGAACCAAAAAUAUUUGAAGGCCUUCCUGAAAAUCCACGGGAAGGAAGGAUCCGAAAAUCCUGAGACUUCUGUUUCUCGAGUGACCUGCAACAAGGCCAAGGGCGACUGGCGUCCGCGCGCUCGAGGUCCUCUCAGCAGGAGUUCCCGGCCAGCUGGAGCUCAGCGACCACCACCUCGGGCCUGGGGAUUUCCCUCUCCGGCCUUGGGGGGGGGGGGGGGACUAAGCAGCUCCAGGUGCCAAGAGUUCCCUCUCCCGAAAUUCUCGCCCCAGUGCUAAAUUAACUUUGGCGUCCUAAGGACCAGAGGCCAAGGGUAGUUUAGGGUGGGGAAGCUCUUAUCUCCUCUGGCCUCCCCACCCCAUUCUUUGAUAAGGCAAUGGGCAUUUUUCUGGAUGCUAUCUAUGUAAAAUGCUAUGCAAAAGCAACUUCAAGUCCCCUACCUCCCGCACUUCUACCUAGAUGGCGCUCCAAGCCCUGCCUGCUUGGAAUUUCUGAGCCACUUUCUCCCCAGGUCUUUUCCUCCCAGGAUCCCCAGGUUUAUGAAGCCGGCGCACCAGGACUGCUGGAGACACGUCCUGCCAGCCUGGAGCCUAGCUCGGGGAAUCCCCGCCCACCUUGUCCUGGGGGGGGGGGGAAUCCCCGCCCCCUGUCCCUGUCACUCCA
Molecule: long non-coding RNA, 1180 nt
Filed under: Heterocephalus glaber (naked mole-rat)
Lineage: Eukaryota; Metazoa; Chordata; Mammalia; Rodentia; Bathyergidae
Description: lncRNA (ENSHGLG00000034803.1)
Source: RNAcentral